This is a long non-coding RNA of Lucilia cuprina (Australian sheep blowfly), 283 nucleotides long. RefSeq lists it as uncharacterized. The record is from RefSeq and is a predicted model, not a curated record. Lineage: Eukaryota; Metazoa; Arthropoda; Insecta; Diptera; Calliphoridae. The transcript is spliced from 2 exons.
GGUGAAUUAUUUAACAGUAUUCCAAUAAGUUUAAUAGCGGAAUUAAAGUAUUCGUACAUUUGAAACUAUGAAAGUAAUUAAUUUGUUCGUAAUAGUCGCAUGCAUUGUUGCCGCUGCCAUGGCUGAUCCAGGAAAUGCUAAUGCACAAGGUGUCACCAAUUCCGGUUACUUUUUCCAAGGAAGUAAAAAGUAAAAUUAUUAUUGAAAAUUUAAAGAAUUUGAUAUAAAUAAAGGAAUACAUUUCACUAAAUUUAAUAUGUGUAAAUGAAAAUGAUAAACCCCA